GCAGAACCUUACCAGCCUUUGACAUCCUAGGACGGUUUCUGGAGACAGAUUCCUUCCCUUCGGGGACCUAGUGACAGGUGCUGCAUGGCUGUCGUCAGCUCGUGUCGUGAGAUGUUGGGUUAAGUCCCGCAACGAGCGCAACCCUCGUCCUUAGUUGCCAUCAUUUAGUUGGGCACUUUAAGGAAACUGCCGGUGAUAAGCCGGAGGAAGGUGGGGAUGACGUCAAGUCCUCAUGGCCCUUACAGGCUGGGCUACACACGUGCUACAAUGGCAUCUACAGUGAGCAGCGAUCCCGCGAGGGUUAGCUAAUCUCCAAAAGAUGUCUCAGUUCGGAUUGUUCUCUGCAACUCGAGAGCAUGAAGGCGGAAUCGCUAGUAAUCGCGGAUCAGCAUGCCGCGU
RNAcentral lists this ribosomal RNA (399 nucleotides) under Erythrobacter sp. Its description in RNAcentral is "bacterial SSU rRNA". It matches the Rfam family "Bacterial small subunit ribosomal RNA", at positions 963 to 1362 of the family's 1533-position model. The record is from RNAcentral. Lineage: Bacteria; Pseudomonadati; Pseudomonadota; Alphaproteobacteria; Sphingomonadales; Erythrobacteraceae.